Molecule: ribosomal RNA, 895 nt
Filed under: uncultured Gammaproteobacteria bacterium
Lineage: Bacteria; Pseudomonadati; Pseudomonadota; Gammaproteobacteria
Description: bacterial SSU rRNA
Rfam family: Bacterial small subunit ribosomal RNA
Source: RNAcentral
AUUGAACGCUGGCGGUAUGCUUAACACAUGCAAGUCGAACGCGAACGGUACUUCGGUACUUAUUAGAGUGGCGGACGGGUGCGUAACGCGUGGGAAUCUACCUAGUAGUUGGGGACAACCUGGUGAAAACCAGGCUAAUACCGAAUACGCCCUACGGGGGAAAGAUGGCCUCUUCUUGAAAGCUAUCACUAUUAGAUGAGCCCGCGUCGGAUUAGCUAGUUGGUAAGGUAAUGGCUUACCAAGGCGACGAUCCGUAGCUGGUCUGAGAGGAUGAUCAGCCACACUGGGACUGAGACACGGCCCAGACUCCUACGGGAGGCAGCAGUGGGGAAUAUUGGACAAUGGGCGAAAGCCUGAUCCAGCAAUACCGCGUGUGUGAAGAAGGCCUCCGGGUUGUAAAGCACUUUCAAUUGUGAAGAGGGGGUAGUGAGUUAAUACCUCUCUAUCUUGACGUUAACUUUAGAAGAAGCACCGGCUAAUUCAGUGCCAGCAGCCGCGGUAAUACUGAAGGUGCAAGCGUUAAUCGGAAUUACUGGGCGUAAAGCGCGCGUAGGCGGUUUGGUCAGUCAGAUGUGAAAGCCCCGGGCUCAACCUGGGAACUGCAUUUGAUACUGCUAAACUAGAGUAUGUUAGAGGGAAGUGGAAUUUCUGGUGUAGCGGUGAAAUGCGUAGAUAUCAGAAGGAACACCAAUGGCGAAGGCAACUUCCUGGGACAAUACUGACGCUGAGGUGCGAAAGCGUGGGGAGCAAACGGGAUUAGAUACCCCGGUAGUCCACGCCGUAAACGAUGAGAACUAGUUGUCGGGAGGGUUUACCUUUCGGUGACGCAGCUAACGCAUUAAGUUCUCCGCCUGGGGAGUACGCCGGCAACGGUAAAACUCAAAGGAAUUGACGG